UAGGGAAUCUUCCACAAUGGACGAAAGUCUGAUGGAGCAACGCCGCGUGAGUGAAGAAGGUUUUCGGAUCGUAAAGCUCUGUUGUUGGUGAAGAAGGAUAGAGGCAGUAACUGGUCUUUAUUUGACGGUAAUCAACCAGAAAGUCACGGCUAACUACGUGCUAG
RNAcentral lists this ribosomal RNA (164 nucleotides) under uncultured bacterium. RNAcentral's name for it is "partial 16S rRNA". It matches the Rfam family "Bacterial small subunit ribosomal RNA", at positions 355 to 511 of the family's 1533-position model. The record is from RNAcentral.